This 1830-nucleotide long non-coding RNA is filed under the name Triticum aestivum (bread wheat). RNAcentral's name for it is "long non-coding RNA (TAES_LNC022063)". Lineage: Eukaryota; Viridiplantae; Streptophyta; Magnoliopsida; Poales; Poaceae. The record is from RNAcentral.
GCAUUGUGUUUCUCCGUAAACUAAUGCAAAAUUAUACUUCCUCCGUAAACUAAUAUAAGAGCGUUUAGAUCACUACAUCAGAUUUUACUAUAUGUGCUUCCUACCAAUAUGCAUGAUUUUUAGUUGCACUUGUAGUUCCUGAACAUCAAUAUUGAUGAACUGGGUGAGGUACGGAACAUCUGUUAACACCUGCGCUGCCCUCCGGUAAUGAGGAUCCAGCGUCCCACCACCUCCGCCACCAUCCGCUCCCUCACCGCCGCGGGGAACCACGCCGCCGCCCUCCGAGCGCUCUCCUCCCUCUCGGCCUCCUCCGCCCAGCUCGACCACUUCGCGCUCCCGCCGGCCAUCAAGUCCGCGGCCGCGCUCCGGGACGGCCGGGCCGCGCGCGCGCUCCACGCGGCCGCCCUCCGCCGCGCGCUCAUCCACCGGCCCACCCCCGCCGUCGGCAACGCGCUCCUCACCGCCUACGCGCGCUGCGGCGACCUCGACGGGGCCCUCACGCUCUUCGCCGCCACGCCGCCGGAGCUCCGCGACGCCGUGUCCUACAACUCGCUCAUCUCCGCGCUCUGCCUGUUCCGGCAGUGGGAGCGCGCGCUCGACGCCCUCCGCGGCAUGCUCGCCGAGGCCCGCCACGACGUCAGCUCCUUCACCCUUGUCAGCGUGCUCCUCGCCUGCUCCCACCUCGCCGGCGACGACGGCCGCCGCCUCGGCCGCGAGGCCCACGCCUUCGCGCUCAAGCACGGCUUCCUCGACGAGGGCGGCAGCGCAGGUGGUGGGACUCGCCGGCCGGCGGGGGCAGAGCGUCGGAGUGCACUUAAGGUGUUCGUGGAAAUGAGAGAGAGAGAGGAGGAAGAAGAUUGAUGCUGACAGGUGGGCCCAAGCGGUCAGAUUUGUGCUUAGCACGGACUAAGCGAGCGAUUUCGCGACUUGGUAGUUUUUUGCCACGGAUUAGGAAAAAAGUGGUAGUUUUCGGGACAAAAUCGUAAAGUGGUAGUUUUUCGUCACGGUUCCGUGAAUUGUGGUAGUUUUUGGUUAAAUACUCGUUAACACUAGAAGUUAUGUUAGGAGCUUUUCAUGAGGAAGUCCAUGCCCUGAAAGUACUGUAAACUAAAGAGUUUUUGGAAGGCUAAUCAGACUAUCUCAUCAAGUUUAUUGAUCAAAUGCCACUGGUAGACAAGGGUUGGAGCGUGAAGCUGUUUGGAUAGAGUAGUCGCUGGUUAAUUUGUAGGGCGAGGAGUAAAUGGAUGAGAGCAUGUAGCGAGUGGGCUGAUGGUAACUUGUAAGCAAGAAAUUCAGGCCUUUAACCCAACUAGUAAUUGUGGACGUGCAAUGCACAUUAACACGAGGCAAAGAUAUUAAUUAUAUUGCAUAUUAAUAUUAAGCAAAAUAUAAAUUGCAUGUUAAUAUUAGGUACUAGGCUAUAUAGUAAGCAUGAUAUUAAUUAGGCGAUGGUACUAAACAUGCUAAACAUCGGAGCGAUGUAGACCGUUGGAUAGAUGCAGUUGAAUCGGUGAGAUUUGUUGGACCUUUGCAACUUGCUCUUUUUAUAAUGGUAUUGGUAUAUAGUAGAUAUUUGCACAUGAGCUUCGGUUUUCUAUAAUUUGAGUACCACAAUGUUCUGCUGCUACCGCUUAAACAAACAUCCUUCCAAGUUCCCAAUCAACAUCAGGGAUAAUUCAUGCACUUCACUACAAGCCUUUUGGGCUUCAGCUUAUAUAAGUCUUAUCUUUUUUGUGAAUUAUUUGAUGACCCGUAGACACAUUCCUGCAUCUGUGGUACUAUUUUCCCACUGCCCUUUUUAAUUUCUUACGCAGUCAUAUUUUCUCCAAG